UCUUACAGUGGCUAAAUAAAAAAGCAUUGCACAAUCUCAAUCAAAUAAUGGACUAAAAAAGUCAUCACAUAAUCUCUAAAAUAGACUCACUGUAUGCAAGCAUUCAUAGUCAGUUGUUACUUGGGUAAUUUCACACUAUAUUUAUAUGCUCAAACAAGAAUCCAGCACCAUAGUCCAUUAUAUUUGGUCUUGUAGCACUGGUUGCCAACGUCUUUGGCUUAUCAACCAUAUCUCAUCGCCUAGUUCGCACAACAACCUUGCUGGACUGAGUGAAGGAGAAGAAAAGGAAGAGAGGUCAUCGGCUUUUCCUCAUCCACCUUAACCCUUUAUCAUGGCUACCUUAAUGAAGAACCAAAAUCAAUAUGAGAGUAGGAGCCCGAUUCAUAACCAUCAUGAGCCGUCGCUCGAGUAAGAACCCGAAUCUGAGCCACCGUGAAGGUUAAGGUUUCAUUAUUGAGAACCACCGCAAACUAGCAUCAUUGUCGCACCGGAGGGAUGGAGAAGAAGAAUUUCACGGAUGAUCCCCUUUCUUACUGCCAUUAAUCAGAGAAAAGAGGGUGAGAGGAUGGUGAAGAUUUCAACCCAUUUU
Molecule: long non-coding RNA, 589 nt
Filed under: Lupinus angustifolius (narrow-leaved blue lupine)
Lineage: Eukaryota; Viridiplantae; Streptophyta; Magnoliopsida; Fabales; Fabaceae
Description: long non-coding RNA (LANG_LNC003161)
Source: RNAcentral